Molecule: non-coding RNA, 220 nt
Filed under: Petrocella atlantisensis
Lineage: Bacteria; Bacillati; Bacillota; Clostridia; Lachnospirales; Vallitaleaceae
Description: T-box
Rfam family: T-box leader
About the family: Uncharged tRNA acts as the effector for transcription antitermination of genes in the T-box leader family. T-boxes are found upstream of many aminoacyl-tRNA synthetase genes and some amino acid biosynthetic genes usually in Gram-positive bacteria.
Source: RNAcentral
AACAAAUCGUUGAUAAGGAAAAGUAGAAUAAAGUCCCUCAGGAUAAGGGAGAAAAGCCGAGACUGAAAGCUUUUUACUGAUACCUAUUUGAAAGACACCUUUGAGUGAUUGAGCGAAAGCUUUGUUAGUAGCUUAAUCCGGCUGGUCAUCGUUAUAAGACCAUUGAGUGGAGAGCAAUCUCUAUUAGGGUGGUACCGCGGGUUAAUAACUCGUCCCUGAC